CCUACGGGUGGCUGCAGUGGGGGAUAUUGCACAAUGGGGGAAACCCUGAUGCAGCGACGCCGCGUGAGUGAAGAAGUAUUUAGGUAUGUUAAGCUUUAUUAGCAGGGAAGCAAAUGACAGUACCUGACCAAGAAGCCCCGGCUAACGACGUGCCAGCAGCCGCGGUAAUAAGUAGGGGGCAAGCGUUAUCCGGCUUUACUGGGCGUUAAGGGAGCGUCGAGGGUUAUGUAAGUCUGGAGUUAAAGCUCGGGGGCCAAACCCGGUACUGCUUUGGAAACUGUGUAACUGGAGUACAGGAGAGGCAGGCGGAAUUCCUGGUGUAGCGGUGAAAUGCGUAGAUAUCAGGAAGAACACCGGCGGCGAAGGCAGCCUGCUGGCCUGAAACUGACGUUGAGGCUCGAAAGCGUGGGGAGCGAACAGGAUUAGAUACCCCUGUAGUC
RNAcentral lists this ribosomal RNA (440 nucleotides) under uncultured bacterium. Its description in RNAcentral is "partial 16S ribosomal RNA". It matches the Rfam family "Bacterial small subunit ribosomal RNA", at positions 338 to 795 of the family's 1533-position model. The record is from RNAcentral.